This 274-nucleotide ribosomal RNA is filed under the name uncultured bacterium. RNAcentral describes it as "partial 16S ribosomal RNA". It matches the Rfam family "Bacterial small subunit ribosomal RNA", at positions 523 to 796 of the family's 1533-position model. The record is from RNAcentral.
AUACGGAGGGUGCAAGCGUUACUCGGAAUCACUGGGUGUAAAGCGCGCGCAGGCGGGCUGAUAAGUUGGAUGUGAAAGCCUACGGCUCAACCGUAGAACUGCAUCCAAAACUGUCAGUCUAGAGUCUGGGAGGGGAAGAUGGAAUUAGUUGUGUAGGGGUAAAAUCCGUAGAGAUAACUAGGAAUACCAAAAGCGAAGGCGAUCUUCUGGAACAGUACUGACGCUGAGGCGCGAAAGCGUGGGGAGCAAACAGGAUUAGAAACCCCAGUAGUCC